UAACAAUAAUAAAAGGAUCCAAAUUGUUCUUCAAAUUUUCUCUCUCGUUUCUCUAUCAUUUUCUCACUUAGCAAACACAUUUCUUUACAUUUUCUCACAUGGUAUCAGAGCUAAUGGCUAACAUAAAUCAAAACACACAAUCCUAUAACUUUGUUACACUUAUCAAACUUGAUCAAAACAACUUUCUGGUAUGGAAGAAUCAGGUUCUAGCUUUGAUCAAAGGAAAUGGACUGGAAGGAUUUAUAAUUGGAGCAAAUCAGUGUCCAAAACAAUAUCUCACUCAUAUCAAUGAAGCAUCAAGCUCCUUAAAUGCUAGAUCAAAUUCAAGAAAUGAGAAUCCUGCUUUUGCCUCCUGGAUCAAAACAUAUCAAUUACUUCUCAGCUGGAUGUUUUCCUCAAUUCAAGAGAAUCUGCUGACAUCUGUUAUUCAUUGUGCAUCUUCUCAUGAACUGUAGGAAUCAUUUACACGAAUGUUUGUUUCUCAAACUCGGGCUAAGGUAAUGCCACUUCAGAUGCUAAAAAGGUUAUAUGCCUAUGACUGCAUAUUUUUCUAAAAUAAAACGUUUAGCUGAUAAUCUUGCUAUUAUUGGAAAGUAUGUUGAACAUAAUGAUCUAGUAACCUAUAUUCUAACAGGUCUGGAUUCAUAAGAUUAUGAAUCACUGGUCACUACAUUACUUGUAAAAGGAGAAAAUAUGAGUCUAGAUGAACUAUAUGCAAUAUUGUUAAGUCAUGAAAUGAGGCUUGAACAAAAGAAAGGAAAAUUGAGUAUUGAUGUCAUGCAUAAUCUCACUGCUAAUGUUGUGCAAAAGAAUCAGAGAUUCUAUAAAGGUAAUUCUGGUUAUCAGAAAGGCAUAAGAGGUUUUGGUGGUAACACAUAAAAUAAUUUUGGAAAUAGAGGUAAUGGAGGAAAUAAUGUGCCAUUUAAGCCAAAUAUAAUCUGUUAGAUCUGUUUUAUACCUGGUCAUAGUGCAAAUAAGUGCAAAAACAUGUAUAAUUCUGCUUUUGUUCCUCAGAGAAGUCUUGGAAGAUGAAAUUUUAGACCCAUGUUUAAUCAGUAUGGUAAAUGUUUCAAUCAAAAUAAUUUUGGUCAAAAGCCUUUCAGUAAUUUUGGAAGAGGUGGCAAUAGUGACUUCUUAAAAGGCUUUGGUUAUCAAGGUUAGGGAUGGCAAAUUUUUCCAGACCCAGCCUGGACCCGAAUAAACCCGGACGAUCCGGUCCGGGUUAAACCCGCCCCGGGUGCAUAAAAAUGCAAAUCCGGGUAGCAUUUUUUCAAACCCGGAUACAUGCGGGUCCGAUUACGGGUUCAACCGAACCCGAAUUUCGGGAACCCGGACCCGCACUACAAUAUUAAUAAUUUAUUAAUUAAUUAAUUUUUAUCAUUAAAUACAAAUAUAAAAGCCAAAAGUAAAAAAAAAAAAGAAAAGAAAUAAAAAGAAACCCUAAAUCCCUACCCCAGCUGCCACCUUUAUUUUCCUCUUCCUUAACAUCAAUUCAAUUCAUCAUCAUCCACCCAUCGUCAAUUCAUCAUCAACAAUAAUAACAAUCAAUAGCAUCCUCAACAUCAAUUUAAAUCAUUGUCAAUUCAUCAUCGAUCAUCAUCAAAGACAAUAAACAAUCUUUGGCACCAUCAAAUUCAACUUUAUCUCUCAUCUCUCAUCAAAUUCCAUCUCAUUUCUCUCUUGUUCUUGGAUGCUGGAUCUUAAACCUUGCUCGCUGCUCUCAUGGCUGCCGCCUCCUGGACUCGCUGGUGCCUCAUUCGACACCUCAAAGAAACUGCUAAUCCACUCUUGCUGGCGCUCGAUCUCAUCUCUCUCUUGUUCGUGGAUGCUGGAUCUCAAACCUUGCUCAUUGCUUUCAUGGCUGCUGCCUCCUGGACUCGCCGGUGUCUCAACCGACACCUUAAAGAAACCGCUAAUCCACUCUUGUACAGAGUCAAAAGGGGCAUGCACAAAGGCUUCAUUGUUCCAGCCUCCAACUUUCUGGGUUUAAAACCCGCAAUCCGGAAACCCGAAUUUUUCCGAGUUGAACCCGUACAGGACCCGGAGAAAGAAAAUGCAGGUUUUUAUCCGGAUUCGGGAAGGAGAAUUGGCAUCCGGGUCCGAAACCGGAAAGGCCAAACCCGGAUCCGGUUUUUGCCAUCCCUAAUCAAGGUUAUCAAGGUCACAUUGCUUAUCCAGAAUCAACUCAUUCAGAUUAUGUUGUUGGACUGCCUUUUGGUUCAUUUUACUCUAGUCCUAGUAAUCCUGCUGCUUUCAACUACUAUAAUGGAGUGAGUAAUGAUCAUAAGUUCAAUCAAAGUCAAAACUCUGUUGCUCCAGUCAUUUCUCCAGUUGAAGUGAUUAAAGAUCCCUCAUGGUAUAUAGAUAGUGGAGCAUCUAGCCACAUCACAAAUAAUUCAUGUAAACUUUUUGAUUUGAAACCUUAUUAUGGAUAAGAAGAAUUACUUGUAGGAAAUUGAAAUGGCUUGAAAUUCAAACAUAUAGGAUAUGUAUUGCUUGCUACACUCUCACAUAAACCACUAUUACUUAAUCAUGUUUUACAUGUGCCUCAUGUAACUAAAAAUUUGCUAAGUGUUUCUCAGCUCUUAACUGAUAACAAAGUUCUUGUUGAAUUUGUUGAUAAUUUCUGUCUCAUUAAGGCCAGGAACACAAGAAUUCUUUUGCUCAGAGGUAUUACUAACGAAGGCUUGUAUCAGAUUCAAGAUGUUAUCUUCUCAAACCUUGAAGUCUCUAAACCAAACUUUCUCAGCUUACUACUCUCAAACUCCUACUCAUAAGCAUUUGUCUAUGUUUUCUACUCUUUCUACUUCUGUUAAGUCAAGUUCCAGUUCAGGUCACUCAAAAAUCUUAGCUUGUUUAAAUAAUGCAGUUUGGAAGCCUACUGCUAUGUCAAUGUUUGUUUAUUCAGUAUAUGUAAAUUUGCUUCACCAAAGGGUAGGACAUUCAGCCAUAUAUACCAUCUUCAACAUUUUGGUUUUGUAGAGACCAAAACCAUAGCACAUGGCAACUCAUAUAUGCUGACCUCUAGAGACCCUCUCAUAUAACAUCUACUCAGGGUUACAACUAUUACUUAUCCAUUCUAGAUGAUUUUAGCAGAUUUACUUAGUUAUUUCCCUUAAAAGCCAAAUCUCAUGCACUACAAGUUUUUGCAAUGUUCAAAAACCUUUAUUGAACAACACCUUGACAGGAAAAUCAAAAUUGUUCAAAUUGGCUGGGGGUGAAUUCAUAUCUUUUUCUUCUCUAUUAGCUGAUUCUGAUAUUCAAUUUAGGUAUCCUUGUCCUCAUAUUCAUAAUCAAAAUAGAAGGAUAGAAAGGAAACGCAGACACAUUGUAAAUAUUGGUCUGACUUUGUUAGCUCAAUCCAAAUUACCCCUGAAUUUUUGGUGGAAUGCAUUCCAAACUGUUGUGUUUCUUCUAAACAGAUUACCUACACUUGUUUUGAACAAUGUAUCACCCUUCUUCAAACUCUUUCAAUAACAUCUAGAUUAUUCAGUUUUGAAGGAUUUUUGCUGUGCAUGUUAUCCUUACCUCAGACCUUAUAAUAGACAUAAACUUGAGUUCAAGUCAAGCAGGUGCAUUUUCAUAGGUUACAGUCCCCAUCAUAAAUGAUAUUAGUGUCUUCAUUCAUCUGGAAAGGUCUAUGUUUCAAACCAUGUAAUUUUUUAUGAAAAAUCCUUUCCAUAUCAGUCAGGUGUUGAUCUUUUUUCAGUCACAAACUCAAGUCUAUCAAAUUCUGAUACAACAUCUUCAUCUUCCUCAAUGCAAGCCUUUCCAGUACCUUUCUCAGCAACUAAAUUCCAAGAACCUCCACCACAAGACUCCUGUAAGAUUUUGUCUCAUUUGCCUAUUAAUGCUUCGCAUGUAUCUUCUUCAAAUAAUCAAGUUCAUGUUACAACAAAACCUAACACAUCUUCUUCAUCUCAACAUACUCAUCAAUUACCAGCAUCACAGCCUUCUGGUCAUCUUAUGAUCACUAGGUCUAAAGCUGGUAUUUUCAAACCUAAAACAUAUCUUAUUGCUCUUUUGUCCAAACCCUCUGAACUAACUUUUGUAGCAUAAGCUUUAAUAGAUCCUAAAUGGUUUGAAGCCAUGAAAGAAGAAUUUAAUGCUCUUCAAGCAAAUCAAACUUGGAUUCUGGUUGAACCUACAAUACCUAUCAAAGUAGUUGGUAACAAAUGGGUAUUCAGAAUCAAAUACAACUCAGAUGGGUCAAUAUCUAGAUACAAAGCAAGACUUAUUGCCAAGGGGCUUUAUCAGACUUAUGGUGUUGACUAUAGUGAAACCUUUAGCCCUGUUAUUAAGUCAUCUACAAUAAGGAUUGUUCUUAGUUUGACAGUGAUGAACAUGUGGCUUAUUAGACAGGUUGAUGUCAAUAAUGCCUUCUUAAAUGGGAUCCUUGAUGAAGAUGUUUAUAUGGAACAACCAGAAGGGAUUGUUGAGCCUUUUAAGCCUCAUCAUGUUUGCAAACUAAAAAAAGCUCUUUAUGGAUUAAAACAAGCUCCAAUGGCCUAGUUUGAUAGAUUAAAAUCUGCCAUGGUUACACAAUGGAUUUUUGUUAAUUGUAAGAAAGAUUCAUCCUUGUUUUACAAGUGGGUUAAUGGUCACAUUUUGCUAGUUCUAGUGUAUGUAGAUGAUAUAAUCAUCACUGGUUCUAAUCCACUUAGUGUGUUGCAAGUAAUUUCUUAUAUGCAAACCACUUUUGCUCCCAAAGAUUUCGGAGAGCUUAAUUACUUUCUUGGUAUCUAAGUAACAAAAACCAAAGAAGGUAUUCAUCUUUCUUAAAGUAAAUACAUUGCUGAUUUGCUAUCUAAAUAAGGCAUGGAUAGUUGUAGUCCAGUUCCUACACCAAUGGCUACCUCUUAUCAACUCACAAAGCACUCAGGCACUAAAAUUGAUAAUUCUUAUCAGUACAGAAGGUUUGUUGGGGCAUUACAAUAUAUGACAUUAACCAGGCCAGACAUAGCCUUUCCAGUGAACAAACUAAGUCAAUUUCUUGCAGUUCCUACAAUAGAACAUUGGCAAUCUUGCAAGAGGCUACUGAGAUAUCUUAAAGGUACAAUCUACUAUGGUCUUCAGCCAUAUCAUAGUGGUAAUUUACAAAUAACUUGCUUCAGUGACUCGGAUUGGGCAUGUGAUAGAGAUGAUAGAAGGUCUGUAGCAAGCUACGUAGUGUACCUUGGUUCCAAUUUGGUGUCAUGGUCUUCAAAGAAGCAGCAUGUAGUAUCUAGAUCUAGCACAGAGUCAGAAUACAGUGCUCUGGCAUUGGGUACAACUGAGGUUUUGUGGAUUCAAGCUUUGUUUACUAAGUUAAAAUUUAAAAUGAAAGCAACACCAGUUAUGUGGUAUGAUAAUUAGAGUGCUAUAUCCUUGGCUACUAAUCUAGUUUAUCAUGCAAAAACUAAACAUAUUAAGUUUGAUAUCAAUUUCAUUAGGGAGAAAAUUGCAGCAAAACAAAUUUCAAUCAGCUUUGUUCCUAGCGAGGAUCAAACAACUGAUAUUCUCACUAAAGCACUGACAUAUGGCCAAUUUUAGUAUCUUAAUCCAAGCUGAAUGUUCUUCUUGGACCAUUUAGCUUGAGGGGGAAUGUUAGCAUAUGGGCUGAAACAGGGCUAUAGCAAAAUAUUGUUUAGGGUCUUGCUAAGCUUAUUGGACGCACACACAGCAUAUAUUUUCUCAUGUGUAUAAAACAUAAUUUGUUAAUUGUACUGUGCAUGGUUAUUUUUGUAGAUUCUAGUAGCUUUAGUUGAUCUUUUCCAACUGCUAAAUAAAUAGUUGUAAAAGUUGUAACAAUAAUAAAACGAUCCAGAUUGUUCUUCAAAUUUUCUCUCUCGUUUCUCUGUCAUUUUCUCACUUAGUAAACACAUUUCUUUACAGUUUCUCACAUACCUGAAGAGCUAAAAGAUUCCCAAUAGAAGCAGGGAGCUGUCAUGUUAGAAGAUUCCUACGAAUGGACAGUUCAGCCGAUCUCUUCGGGAAUUUCCCCAGCAAGCUUGUUGUUAUUGGCAUGAAACGCGAUGAGAUUAGAGCAAUGAGACAAAUUGGUAGGCAUUAGACCCGAAAAAGAGUUGUCUGUGAUCAUUAGUGUUUCAAGGCUGAACAGGUUCCCAAUUUCACGGGGAAUUUCACCAUGGAAACUGUUGUCUGCAAUGUUAAUGUGCCUGAGGAAGCUGAGGUUUCCAACAUAAGGGGAUAAGAAACCUCUUAAGCUUUGGUACUUUCUCAAAUCUAACUUAGCCACUUUUUGGUGCCGAUGAGCACAAGUCACACCAGUCCAUUGACCCAAGUUUAUAGAAUUGUUCAAUGAAGUCGUAAAUCCAAUUGGAUCAUGAAAGUGUGACCUUAUGGCAAGCAAUGCGAGAUGAUUUGUCUCGUUUGAAUAAGGGGCAGAAGAGCUAUAUGAAUGAAGCAACAGGCUGCUGAAGCACCAUAUGAGAGUGGCAGCGCAGCUAAAAGAAAUGGAAUUAGGCAUGUUUUGAGUUUGAUGCCAACGAUUAGAUAAGACUAUAAUAUUUUUUCAUGUUUAUU
This 6525-nucleotide long non-coding RNA is filed under the name Citrus sinensis (sweet orange). RNAcentral's name for it is "long non-coding RNA (CSIN_LNC002491)". Lineage: Eukaryota; Viridiplantae; Streptophyta; Magnoliopsida; Sapindales; Rutaceae. The record is from RNAcentral.